GCUCCAAUAGCGUAUAUUAAAGCUGUUGCGGUUAAAAAGCUCGUAGUUGGAUUUCUGUCAAGUACAACUGGUCCGCCUCUGGGUGAGCACAUAGUUUGGUCUUGGCAUCUUGCUGGAAACUGUUGCUGCACUUGGCUGUGUGGCGCAGUGUCCAGCACUUUCACUUUGAGGAAAUUGGAGUGUUUCAAGCAGGCAAUGCC
This 200-nucleotide ribosomal RNA is filed under the name uncultured eukaryote. RNAcentral's name for it is "partial 18S ribosomal RNA". It matches the Rfam family "Eukaryotic small subunit ribosomal RNA", at positions 588 to 791 of the family's 1831-position model. The record is from RNAcentral.